GGAUGUAGGGGUGAUCUGGCUGCAACAUACGUCGCCCCACUGAUAGCCAGAGCCGAAUCGGCUCAUCUGGCUGGUGAGUGUCUCUUUCCUCUCUCACUGCUCCAUGGACAUGUGUCCCUCCUAGAGCCGCAAGCUCUCUUGAUCAAAGAGGACGACCGUCCCUCCUAGAAGAGGACCGUUCUUUAGUCAAGGGUAUAACAAGUAGCUGUGCUCCACUUCUAGAACCCUCGAACAAGCUCACAAGGUUCAUUUGUGGGAGAAUGUAGGGUAGUCAAGCUUCCAGGACUCCAGACACAUCCCGACGUUAGGUGCUGCCUGUGACAGUCUGCUUUUCUAA
Molecule: unclassified non-coding RNA, 337 nt
Organism: Ursus americanus (American black bear)
Lineage: Eukaryota; Metazoa; Chordata; Mammalia; Carnivora; Ursidae
Gene: 7SK
Rfam family: 7SK RNA
About the family: 7SK was discovered as an abundant small nuclear RNA in the mid-70s but a possible function has only recently been suggested. Two independent studies have found that 7SK RNA binds the CDK9/cyclin T complex (known as elongation factor P-TEFb).
Source: Ensembl